Molecule: ribosomal RNA, 293 nt
Filed under: uncultured microorganism
Description: partial 16S ribosomal RNA
Rfam family: Bacterial small subunit ribosomal RNA
Source: RNAcentral
GUGCCAGCAGCCGCGGUAACACGUAGGGUGCGAGCGUUGUCCGGAAUUAUUGGGCGUAAAGAGCUCGUAGGCGGUGUGUCGCGUCGGCCGUGAAAACUUGCAGCUUAACUGUGGGCGUGCGGUCGAUACGGGCAUCACUGGAGUUCGGCAGGGGAGACUGGAAUUCCUGGUGUAGCGGUGAAAUGCGCAGAUAUCAGGAGGAACACCGGUGGCGAAGGCGGGUCUCUGGGCCGAUACUGACGCUGAGGAGCGAAAGCGUGGGGAGCGAACAGGAUUAGAUACCCUGGUAGUCC